RNAcentral lists this ribosomal RNA (253 nucleotides) under uncultured bacterium. RNAcentral describes it as "partial 16S ribosomal RNA". It matches the Rfam family "Bacterial small subunit ribosomal RNA", at positions 524 to 776 of the family's 1533-position model. The record is from RNAcentral.
UACGUAGGGUGCGAGCGUUGUCCGGAAUUAUUGGGCGUAAAGGGCUCGUAGGCGGUCUGUUGCGUCGGGAGUGAAAACUCAGGGCUUAACCCUGAGCCUGCUUCCGAUACGGGCAGACUAGAGGUAUGCAGGGGAGAACGGAAUUCCUGGUGUAGCGGUGAAAUGCGCAGAUAUCAGGAGGAACACCGGUAGCGAAGGCGGUUCUCUGGGCAUUACCUGACGCUGAGGGGCGAAAGUGUGGGGAGCGAACAGG